Molecule: long non-coding RNA, 1641 nt
Organism: Equus caballus (horse)
Lineage: Eukaryota; Metazoa; Chordata; Mammalia; Perissodactyla; Equidae
Source: Ensembl
GUCCGGGGUCGCUGAUGGGAAUCUGACCUUUAAGUCCUUCUUUGCAGGUGGCCUGCUUUUCUCUCUCCAGAGCCUGGGGCUUGUCUGCUUCCUUCUGGAUGCUCUCAAGCUCUGGUCUGGGUUGGAGGCGUUCCCUGGUCCUCCUGCGCCAGCGCUUUGUGGGCCCUUUAACUUGAAGAUCAGCGUUUCCGUUUAGCCGGGGAAAUUUUCUUUCACCCUGAACAGGAUUCUCCCCGUCCUGAUACGUCUUUCUGGAGUGUGUGUUUUAAUUGUUUGAUCUUCCGGAUUUGAUGCACAGAUCCAGCAGGCUCCUUGCUUUUAUCUUCCUGCCCUCCCACUGGAAAUUUAAAAGCAAACGUUGUCAACCUUAUAUUUAAUAUUCUGAAGCUUGCUCUUGUUUCUUGGUGGCUGUUUUUCUCGGUCCCAUCAGGGCUUUUGAACAGGACAUCGUGGCUGAAAUGUGUGAGCUUGUCUCUGAGGAGGGAUGAAAGCAGAGACUGGAGUGACUGCGCGGCACACAGCACGGCUUCCCGUGCGUGGCCCGCGGCCGCACGUUCCCCGCCCAGGAGGCCGUCCUGGAGCACGCGGCAUGGGGUGAAGGACAGCUUCAGCUGCUGGGUCUUCUUCAAGGAGGAGUAGGAGUCAAGACUCUGUCUCAGAACUUGGAGCUCAAAUAGAGAAAAAACAACUUCGGAGAUGUGGUGGCAUCAGAUGUCAGCCAAGCUGAGAACACGAAAUGCCAAAAAAGAUGUGUAAAAAGGAAGUAGGCCAAGCAGGGACAGCGAGGCUGAGGAGGAGGUGGCACCAACAACGUGGGCCCAGGAGAAGGUGCACAAGGAAAAGACGGAGCAGCUGACCUCAGCGACCAGGACAGGCCCAGAGGGACACGUGAACCCUGGAGGAGGGAGGGGAGCCAGGACCUCGCCGGCCUGUUGGAAUCUCGGGAGGUGUCCUCCGUACCAUCAAGGCCAAUUGGUGAUGCAGCAGUUUUGAAAAACAUACUCCACGACUGUCUUUAGGAUUUUCUUCCAAGCCGUUAUCCACCCCCAACAAAUCUGCAAGGUUUUGCAUUGUCACUUUCUACUUGGAUCGACACGUGACUUCCUGUUUUCUGUAAUCGAAUCACAGGGCUCUAGCGUGGAGCAGAUUCUAUUCAAAGUCUGCAGGAGGCUCCCAACGUCCAGCACCGUAACUACUCUCCUACUGGGCACGUUGAUAGGUCGUCCCAGCCUCACUGUGCUUUGAAAAUUUGGCAACUUUUUCCCAUCUUCAGUUAUGUUACUUGGCCACACAGGACAAAUAAUAAACAGACUCAUUUGAAGCAAAGACAAUGAGAAUAACCAGAACCAAGUGUGGGCGUGUGUGAGUAAGUAGUGACAACUGCUUCAAACUACUGCAUGUCUGAAAACGACUUCAUGAUGUCAUCAAUCCCAAUUUUAGAGCUGGUAAAAAGUUAAAAAGUAUGUGUAACACAUGAAAUGUGAUAGUUCUUUUUAAACAUAGUGACAUCUAUCCAUCUUUUUUUCUUUUAUGAAAUCUUUAUUUUCUCAUGUGUUUAGGAAGCAUUUGUUCGUUAUAAGAUUGGAAAAAUGUAUGCCUGUAUUUUCUAUUUGAUUUCCCUUAUUAUAACAUAUUUUGUAU